Chrysemys picta bellii (western painted turtle) is the source of this 219-nucleotide non-coding RNA. The record is from RefSeq and is a predicted model, not a curated record. Lineage: Eukaryota; Metazoa; Chordata; Testudines; Emydidae.
GGCAUGGCAACAGCAACUUCAAGCUCUGUUUCACCAGGGCCAGGCCCAAAUAUACAUGGGGGAAAACAGAAUAACAAUGUGCCAGCAUCCCUUUACCCUGUGGUGGAAGUAUGGUCAAAACAUGAGACCCUUAGACCAGAGGGUAAACAAGCUCAAAAGAAAAAGGAAAGAGACAGCGGAAAAGGCAAAUUCAACAGCAUCAACGGCUGAUGGAUGGGU